UCCGGGGAUAACAGGCUGAUACCGCCCAAGAGUUCAUAUCGACGGCGGUGUUUGGCACCUCGAUGUCGGCUCAUCACAUCCUGGGGCUGAAGUAGGUCCCAAGGGUAUGGCUGUUCGCCAUUUAAAGUGGUACGCGAGCUGGGUUUAGAACGUCGUGAGACAGUUCGGUCCCUAUCUGCCGUGGGCGCUGGAGAACUGAGGGGGGCUGCUCCUAGUACGAGAGGACCGGAGUGGACGCAUCACUGGUGUUCGGGUUGUCAUGCCAAUGGCACUGCCCGGUAGCUAAAUGCGGAAGAGAUAAGUGCUGAAAGCAUCUAAGCACGAAACUUGCCCCGAGAUGAGUUCUCCCUGACUCCCUGAGAGUCCUGAAGGAACGUUGAAGACGACGACGUUGAUAGGCCGGGUGUGUAAGCGCAGCGAUGCGUUGAGCUAACCGGUACUAAUGAACCGUGAGG
This 455-nucleotide ribosomal RNA is filed under the name Escherichia coli. Its description in RNAcentral is "partial 23S ribosomal RNA". It matches the Rfam family "Bacterial large subunit ribosomal RNA", at positions 2467 to 2916 of the family's 2925-position model. The record is from RNAcentral. Lineage: Bacteria; Pseudomonadati; Pseudomonadota; Gammaproteobacteria; Enterobacterales; Enterobacteriaceae.